Molecule: ribosomal RNA, 413 nt
Filed under: uncultured bacterium
Lineage: Bacteria
Description: bacterial SSU rRNA
Rfam family: Bacterial small subunit ribosomal RNA
Source: RNAcentral
GGGCCCGCACAAGCGGUGGAGCAUGUGGUUUAAUUCGAUGAUACGCGAGGAACCUUACCAGGGCUUAAAUGUAGUCUGACAGGGGUGGAAACACCCCCUCCUUCGGGCAGAUUACAAGGUGCUGCAUGGUUGUCGUCAGCUCGUGCCGUGAGGUGUCAGGUUAAGUCCUAUAACGAGCGCAACCCCUGCCGUUAGUUGCCAGCAUGUAAUGAUGGGAACUCUAACGGGACUGCCGGUGCAAACCGCGAGGAAGGUGGGGAUGACGUCAAAUCAUCACGGCCCUUACGUCCUGGGCUACACACGUGCUACAAUGGUAAGGACAGAGAGUUGCCAACCCGCGAGGGUGAGCUAAUCUUUAAACCUUAUCUCAGUUCGGAUUGUCGUCUGCAACUCGACGGCAUGAAGUCGGAAUC